CUCUCCCCAAUACCUCUUAGUCCUCCCUCUGCCUCGCCGUACGCCGACCAUCGCCAGCCGAUCACAACUCCUCAUUGGGGCAUCAGGACUUCUCCUCCGUACAUGCCCGAACCACCUCAGUCUCGCAUCUUCUCAUCCACCGGGGCCACCCCCACCUUCUCUCCAAUAACUUCAUUCUUAAUCUUAUCUAACCUGGUGAGCCCGCACAUCCACCUGAG
This 218-nucleotide long non-coding RNA is filed under the name Nicotiana benthamiana. RNAcentral describes it as "long non-coding RNA (NBEN_LNC021556)". Lineage: Eukaryota; Viridiplantae; Streptophyta; Magnoliopsida; Solanales; Solanaceae. The record is from RNAcentral.